This 490-nucleotide ribosomal RNA is filed under the name uncultured bacterium. RNAcentral's name for it is "SSU rRNA". It matches the Rfam family "Bacterial small subunit ribosomal RNA", at positions 26 to 524 of the family's 1533-position model. The record is from RNAcentral.
AGGAUUAACGCUGGCGGCGUGCAUGAAACAUGCAAGUCGAGCGCGGUGUGAUGCGGGGUAACCCAAUUCACAUCUAGCGGCGAACGGGUGAGUAACACGUGAGCAACCUACCUUUGAGUUGGGGAUAGCCCUGGGAAACCAGGAUUAAUACCCGAUGUGGUCACAACAGGACAUCCUGAUGUGAGUAAAGGCGCAAGCCGCUCAAUGACGGGCUCGCGGCCUAUUAGCUUGUUGGUGGGGUAACGGCCUACCAAGGCGAUGAUGGGUAGCUGGUCUGAGAGGACGAUCAGCCACACUGGGACUGAGACACGGCCCAGACUCCUACGGGAGGCAGCAGUUAGGAAUUUUCCGCAAUGGGCGAAAGCCUGACGGAGCAACGCCGCGUGAGUGAUGAAGACCUUAGGGUUGUAAAGCUCUGUCGGAGGGGAAGAACACAAUGACGGUACCUCCAAGAAAGCCCGGCUAACUACGCGCCAGCAGCCGCGGUAAU